This 467-nucleotide ribosomal RNA is filed under the name uncultured bacterium. RNAcentral describes it as "partial 16S ribosomal RNA". It matches the Rfam family "Bacterial small subunit ribosomal RNA", at positions 28 to 507 of the family's 1533-position model. The record is from RNAcentral.
GAUGAACGCUGGCGGCGUGCUUAACACAUGCAAGUCGAACGGUGAAGCAGUGCUUGCGCUGUGGACUAGUGGCGCACGGGUGAGUAACACGUGAGAAACCCGCCCCCGUCACUGGGAUAAGACUUGGAAACGGCGUCUCUUAUAGGAUAUGAGCUCUCCUCGCACGUUCUGCAGUUGGAAAGAUUUCUCGGUCUGGGAUGGGCCCACGGCCUAUCAGCUUGUUGGUGGGGUAAUGGCUCACCAAGGCGUCGACGGGUAGCCGGCCUGAGAGGGUGACCGGCCACACUGGGACUGAGACACGGCCCAGACUCCUACGGGAGGCAGCAGUGGGGAAUAUUGCACAAUGGGCGGAAGCCUGAUGCAGCAACGCCGCGUGAGGGAUGACGGCCUUCGGGUUGUAAACCUCUUUUGGCAGUGAAGAAGCGAGAGUGACGGUACCUGCAGAAGAAGCGCCGGCUAACUACGUG